UACGAAGGGUGCAAGCGUUACUCGGAAUUACUGGGCGUAAAGCGUGCGUAGGUGGUGAGUUAAGUCUGUCGUGAAAUCCCCCGGGCUUAACCUGGGAACUGCAUUGGUGACUGGCAGGCUUUGAGUGUGGCAGAGGGAGGUAGAAUUCCACGUGUAGCCAGUGAAAUGCGUAGAGAUGUGGAGGAAUACCGAUGGCGAAGGCAGCCUCCUGGGCCAACACUGACGCUCAUGCACGAAAGCGUGG
This 244-nucleotide ribosomal RNA is filed under the name uncultured bacterium. Its description in RNAcentral is "partial 16S ribosomal RNA". It matches the Rfam family "Bacterial small subunit ribosomal RNA", at positions 524 to 764 of the family's 1533-position model. The record is from RNAcentral.